RNAcentral lists this ribosomal RNA (492 nucleotides) under uncultured bacterium. RNAcentral describes it as "partial 16S ribosomal RNA". It matches the Rfam family "Bacterial small subunit ribosomal RNA", at positions 29 to 507 of the family's 1533-position model. The record is from RNAcentral.
AGUGAACGCUGGCGGUAGGCCUAACACAUGCGAGUCGAACGGCAGCACAGUAAGAGCUUGCUCUUACGGGUGGCGAGUGGCGGACGGGUGAGGAAUACAUCGGAAUCUACUUUUUCGUGGGGGAUAACGUAGGGAAACUUACGCUAAUACCGCAUACGACCUACGGGUGAAAGCAGGGGAUCUUCGGACCUUGCGCGAUUGAAUGAGCCGAUGUCGGAUUAGCUAGUUGGCGGGGUAAAGGCCCACCAAGGCGACGAUCCGUAGCUGGUCUGAGAGGAUGAUCAGGCAAACUGGAACUGAGACACGGUCCAGACUCCUACGGGAGGCAACAGUGGGGAAUAUUGGACAAUGGGCGGAAGCCUGAUCCAGCCAUACCGCGUGGGUGAAGAAGGCCUUCGGGUUGUAAAGCCCUUUUGUUGGGAAAGAAAAGCAGCAGGUUAAUACCCCGCUGUUCUGACGGUACCCAAAGAAUAAGCACCGGCUAACUUCGUG